AUUUUUAGUAAUCUAGUAUUAAGGAAAUAAAUUUAUUUCUCAAUAUACAUUAACAAAUUAAAAAAGUAGUUAUUUGAUAAUUAAAAGGCUAGUAAAAUAUUUUCGUCCAAUUUUGUACUUUAUUUAUUUUAUAUAUAACAUGUACUAUAAUGUAAUCUUUUUAUACACACAUCAAAAAGGAUCUGUAACUGAUUAAAUGAUAACGAUAAAAUUAAUUAUCUACUUUUGGUUUAGAUAGAAAGAUAGUAAAGGCACAUCUAAGUAAUAAGAAGUUGUUUGUCCUGCAGCUUCUCUGUCAUUCAAGGUAAAGGUCAUGGGAUCAAUACCUGAUCUUCACAUUCCAAAGUAAUUUUAAAAAUCAAUCAAAGAGGUCAAUCAGGUUUUCGAUGAAACAGCCAGCUUAUCCUGAUUUUGACUGGUUCAAUUGCAUUCUGGUCACUUAUGGGAGACCAGACUGGUAAGAAUUAUUCUUGGGGUACAUAACCCAUUACAUAAGAAUGUCCAAAAUGAAUAGGGAUGCCUGCCCUUAUGUGCCCCCCUAUGUACCCCAAGAAUAACCCAACUGGUAAACAGUCUGAGUUGCUGAUUUUCCAGUCGAACCAGCUGGUUUGGUUUUAAUAUUAUGGUAAAUGUCAACAAUAUCAUAAAUAACUAUUCAAACACAGAUAUCUUAAGAAUGAAAAGUAUCUAAACCUUCCUUCAAGUUGCGCAGGACCCAACUUUGCCAAAGCGCGUUCGACCUCCUCACUUACCUGUUGAAUACAGAUAAAUUAUGAGAUUAAAGUGGUUGCGAGUAAUCUAAAUGAAGAUAACAUCGAGGUGAUCUCUCAUGCAUCAAAUUCACUUUUCAACCAAAGAUUGUCUCUCACAGCGUACAUGCUUGGAGUCACUAAUAUUAACGGAAUAAUAUCGNN
Molecule: long non-coding RNA, 914 nt
Filed under: Olea europaea (common olive)
Lineage: Eukaryota; Viridiplantae; Streptophyta; Magnoliopsida; Lamiales; Oleaceae
Description: long non-coding RNA (OEUR_LNC014337)
Source: RNAcentral